CAGUAGCCGCGGGAAUACGUAGGUGGCAAGCGUUGUCCGGAAUUAUUGGGCGUAAAGGGCUCGCAGGCGGUUUCUUAAGUCUGAUGUGAAAGCCCCCGGCUCAACCGGGGAGGGUCAUUGGAAACUGGGAAACUUGAGUGCAGAGGAGGAGAGUAGAAUUCCACGUGUAGCGGUGAAAUGCGUAGAGAUGUGGAGGAACACCAGUGGCGAAGGCGACUCUCUGGUCUGUAACUGACGCUGAGGAGCGAAAGCGUGGGGAGCGAACAGGAUUAGAUACCCCGGUAGUCCCUGUCUCUUAUAC
Molecule: ribosomal RNA, 301 nt
Filed under: uncultured bacterium
Lineage: Bacteria
Description: partial 16S ribosomal RNA
Rfam family: Bacterial small subunit ribosomal RNA
Source: RNAcentral